CCUACGGGAGGCAGCAGUGGGGAAUUUUGGACAAUGGGCGAAAGCCUGAUCCAGCAAUGCCGCGUGUGUGAUGAAGGCCUUCGGGUUGUAAAGCACUUUUGGCGGGAACGAAAAGGACUGUGCCAAUACCACGGUUCGAUGACGGUACCCGCAGAAUAAGCACCGGCUAACUACGUGCCAGCAGCCGCGGGAAUACGUAGGGUGCAAGCGUUAAUCGGAAUUACUGGGCGUAAAGAGUGCGCAGGCGGUUUUGCAAGACCGAUGUGAAAUCCCCGGGCUUAACCUGGGAACUGCAUUGGUGACUGCAAGGCUAGAGUGUGUCAGAGGGAGGUGGAAUUCCGCAUGUAGCAGUGAAAUGCGUAGAUAUGCGGAGGAACACCGAUGGCGAAGGCAGCCUCCUGGGAUAACACUGACGCUCAUGCACGAAAGCGUGGGGAGCAAACAGGAUUAGAUACCCUAGUAGUC
Molecule: ribosomal RNA, 465 nt
Filed under: uncultured Lautropia sp.
Lineage: Bacteria; Pseudomonadati; Pseudomonadota; Betaproteobacteria; Burkholderiales; Burkholderiaceae
Description: bacterial SSU rRNA
Rfam family: Bacterial small subunit ribosomal RNA
Source: RNAcentral